CAGAGUUCGGCUCCUCACGGAGCCUACUCCCACCCUUUGUUAACCUAUCAACCGUUGCUUUGGCGGGCCGCGGCCUCGCCGCCCCCGGCUUGCGCUGGGGAGCGCCCGCCAGAGGACCCAAAACCCGUUUGAACAGUGGAAUCUGAGUACAAUAUUAAAAAUCA
Molecule: unclassified non-coding RNA, 164 nt
Filed under: uncultured Dothideomycetes
Lineage: Eukaryota; Fungi; Ascomycota; Dothideomycetes
Description: sequence contains ITS1
Source: RNAcentral